AGAGUUUGAUCCUGGCUCAGAAUGAACGUUGGCGGCGUGGAUUAGGCAUGCAAGUCGAACGUUAGCAGUAGCAAUACUGCAAAAGUGGCGAAAGGGAGAGUAAUACGUAGGUACCUGCCCUCGGGUCUGGGAUAGCUGCGGGAAACUGCAAUUAAUACCGGAUGACGUCUCUGGACCAAAGGUGUGAUUCCGCCAGGGGAUGGGCCUGCGUCCUAUCAGCUAGUUGGUGUGGUAAUGGCGCACCAAGGCUAAAACGGGUACGGGGUGUGAGAGCAUGCCCCCGCUCACUGGGACUGAGAUACUGCCCAGACACCUACGGGUGGCUGCAGUCGAGAAUCUUCCGCAAUGGGCGAAAGCCUGACGGAGCGACGCCGCGUGUGGGAUGAAGGCCUUCGGGUUGUAAACCACUGUCAGUGGGGAGCAAAUGCAUCAGGGUUCUCCCUGGUGUUUGAGCGAUCCGCAGAGAUGC
Molecule: ribosomal RNA, 469 nt
Filed under: uncultured Pirellula sp.
Lineage: Bacteria; Pseudomonadati; Planctomycetota; Planctomycetia; Pirellulales; Pirellulaceae
Description: bacterial SSU rRNA
Rfam family: Bacterial small subunit ribosomal RNA
Source: RNAcentral